This is a long non-coding RNA of Acanthopagrus latus (yellowfin seabream), 486 nucleotides long. RefSeq lists it as uncharacterized. The transcript is spliced from 3 exons. The record is from RefSeq and is a predicted model, not a curated record. Lineage: Eukaryota; Metazoa; Chordata; Actinopteri; Spariformes; Sparidae.
UUUCAAGGCUUUGGAAAAAUGUUAGCUAAGUGGGCUCAACAAUAACAGUUAUAAUGUUAGUAGGACUGUGUUUACUUGAUAAUAAUAAAAAGAUUAGUGUCCUAAAAUGGAAACCUCUGCCUCUGGACAAGUGACAGGAUGCACCAGACGUGGUGGCCACAACUUGUGCAAGAGCCUGGGAUGGAUCAAGAUGUCCAGCGUGUCUCACAGAAGAACAGGAAAACAGAACCCAGGCCUAAUGAAUUUCUCUGUAAUGGUGAAACUCUUCCUCCCACUGACUAAUGUGGGAGGAAGAGUUUCUGCAUGACAGUAAAGUUGGUAUGUGGAGGAGGGAGCGAGAAGAGACAAAGAGAAGAGGGAUACAAGGGAGAGACACAAAGAGAAAAAUACGCCUGCACAACUUGUCUGAACUGAGGAGCGGUCUCAUGACUUAAACAUUCUGGGGGAUAAAAUAUGCCCACACUGCAGGGAUUCUUUUCCCAGAAA